This 246-nucleotide long non-coding RNA is filed under the name Fukomys damarensis (Damara mole-rat). RNAcentral's name for it is "lncRNA (ENSFDAG00000027622.1)". Lineage: Eukaryota; Metazoa; Chordata; Mammalia; Rodentia; Bathyergidae. The record is from RNAcentral.
AUACUGUCUUGGAUGCACUGGAAUCCACAUCAGGAUGCCCUUUAAGGUUCUCCUUUCCUCACGAAGAAUGAAAUAAGACAAUUCAGAAAUGGUGUCAAAAGUUUAUUUGAAAAAUGGGGGGUGAAUGAGAGAAACCUGCUCUACAGAGUGAACUUGGGCAGAACAAGAGAAAAAGGUCAUACCUCAAACCUCUGAACCAACCUAUGAAAAAUACCUCAGCAAGCAGGGAAAACAGUACAGCCAAAC